RNAcentral lists this microRNA precursor (100 nucleotides) under Phaseolus vulgaris (common bean). Its description in RNAcentral is "pre miRNA mir-286". It matches the Rfam family "mir-286 microRNA precursor family". The record is from RNAcentral. Lineage: Eukaryota; Viridiplantae; Streptophyta; Magnoliopsida; Fabales; Fabaceae.
UUGAUUUGCGAGGGCGGCUAUACAAAUAGUCGCCCUUGUAAAUCAAGUGUUUUGAUUUACGAGGGUGACUAUUUGUAUAGUCGCCAUCGUAAAUCAAAGU